Molecule: long non-coding RNA, 987 nt
Organism: Diabrotica virgifera virgifera (western corn rootworm)
Lineage: Eukaryota; Metazoa; Arthropoda; Insecta; Coleoptera; Chrysomelidae
Exons: 3
Source: RefSeq, a predicted model, not a curated record
GGUAAUUAACAUGUUCUCUUUUCUACAUUAGUUUCAAUGCAAGCUGUUUGUUGCAAACUUAUAAAAUCUGAAAACUAUUUCAAUUAAAUGCAUAGCUGAAAAGUACACAAGAAUCUACAGGUCGAGCAAGUCUCGUAAAUUUCACGAUUGUGCGAGCCACGCUUCACGCAACCGUGUUUGCGUACUUGUGUUUCGAGUUGCGUGGUCGUGCGGAGUUAUAUUUACCAAAUUUAAAUCCCUUCCAACAUGCUGUCAAAAUUAAAUCAAUAUGUCAAUAUGGCUACUGGGUGUAAAAGAUAAAUCUUAUUCUAUCUGUUCUUAAUGAGUUUUAGAUAAUUUUAGUUGUAUUUCUUUGUAAUUUUGUGUUGUACAAAGAUUAAUUUAACAUUUUCUCUGGAAGUAUUAAUUUAGAAAGAUAAUAUGCUUCAUUGGUGUUGUGUUUUGAAGUGUGAAAUGCAAAGUAAUUGUGAUAAAAAGAUAAAGUUCACUUUUAAACUGAACUAAAUAAGGUAUCUGAGAGACAACAAUGGUUAAAUGCAAUACAAUGUACAGGUUUUACUAGCGAAAUGAAAAUUUUCCUGUCCUGUCUGCUGUAAUCAUUUUAUAUCUGGAAAACCAGCCGACUUAAUCGAUAAUAACAAUCUCCAGAUUGGGUUCCUUCAAUAAAUAUGGGCUAUUAACACAAUGAAAUAAAUUCCAGAAAAUCUAAAAUGGAGUGGCAUCAAAGGAGAAUUAAAGGAAAAAAUAUUCAUAUUGAAAUUAUUUAUAAGGCACUGGACUGUCUUAAAUUCUACAAUAAUACUAGAAUCAGCUGAGAGAAGUGGUCUACAAAAAACCAGGAAGGAAACGGAAUAUGUGGCUACGAAAGGCAAAAGAAAGGUUUACAAAGCAAAUGUGACACAUUUUUUUGAAAUAUUUAGGAAUAUCAGUAAAUUGCAUUAAAAGAAUGUAUGAAAAGAUUUUGUUCAAUAAAAAUGUUUAUAUUUA